This is a long non-coding RNA of Nematostella vectensis (starlet sea anemone), 1113 nucleotides long. RefSeq lists it as uncharacterized. The transcript has 2 exons. The record is from RefSeq and is a predicted model, not a curated record. Lineage: Eukaryota; Metazoa; Cnidaria; Anthozoa; Actiniaria; Edwardsiidae.
AACAUGAAUGAAUAUAAAUAAUACUUUGCUUAAAGAGAAAAGCGACGGGGAAUGAAUAGAGAAGCGGGUUGAAUUAUCGCUGUAAAUUAAGUACAUUUGUCUUUGUCAAUAAACGAUCGCUUCCACAAAGAUUUGCUGAUAGAUUCUCUUGGAAAACAAACAGUCUCAACGAGAUCUUAAAAACACUACUCGAAAAAUCACGUGUUGGUGAAAAUUAGUUGCAAAUCUGAUGGGAGAGUCCAGUCGGAACAUAAACAAUAAACAGAGAAGAAUGUACAAUGCACUAUUCAAAUUUACACAGGAAUUUUCAUGAUUCUGUGCGGCAAACAAUGGAAUUGUAAACAUAGCCCUCACCACUCUAGCGCAACAAAAUUCCUGGACUUGUCAUUACGGAAAUUACCAGCCGAAAUUCAAGUUAUCAUUCAAAUCUGACAAAUCCUGAAACGGAUUUUGCUUGGUGUACAAGAUUGCAUGAUUUUCAAUCGACAUUAUCAAAUAAUCGUUUUCGAUUAGCAUAAACGAGCUUUCUUUUCAGCACUACUCACAUAUGAGAACAGAUUGCAAAAAUAACACCACACCACUACGUACAAGAAACGAAAUCACAAAAUAAACCGAAAGUGAUACUGUUAUUAAUGAUCAAGUCUUCGAAUUGACGUUUUCAUCAAAACUUCGAAUCGUAAUCUGCGACAUAUGAAAGUGGCAGGAAAUCAAUAUUUAUCUGGGCUUGGGUCUGUGUUGAUGGUUCGUUGAUAGCAAAAUGAAUUAUCGAUGGGAGAAAUUCACUAAUCCGCGUGUCGCGUCUAACGAGAACAAAAAGAACAGAGACGGGUCAUCGUUGAUUGACCUCAAAGAGACAAACAGGAAGAAGACUGCUAGCAGGGUACGUCUCUUGCAGAGUACUUAUUGUCCUGCCCACAAUGCAUGGAAUUUAUCUAAUUAUUACUCUUUUCGCCAUUUAUUGAUUAAAAUAGUGUAUUAAAAUAGUGUAUCAAUAGGUUCACUUAGCAGGUUCUUGAUUACGCCUACUCAAUCCAAUGUUUUGAUCUCAGAAAGGUUGAUAGCAGUUGCGCGAGCGAAGGGGCGGACAGAGAGGUGCACUAAAAGGGAUGCAAA